This 305-nucleotide unclassified non-coding RNA is filed under the name plant metagenome. Its description in RNAcentral is "partial contains 5.8S ribosomal RNA, internal transcribed spacer 2, and large subunit ribosomal RNA". The stretch from base 1 to 105 matches the Rfam family "5.8S ribosomal RNA", at positions 50 to 154 of the family's 154-position model. The record is from RNAcentral.
GAAAUGCGAUAAGUAAUGUGAAUUGCAGAAUUCAGUGAAUCAUCGAAUCUUUGAACGCACAUUGCGCCCGCCAGUAUUCUGGCGGGCAUGCCUGUUCGAGCGUCAUUUCAACCAUCAAGCCCCCGGCUUGUGUUGGGGACCUGCGGCGGCCCGCAGGCCCUGAAAAACAGUGGCGGGCUCGCUGUCACACCGAGCGUAGUAGCAUACAUUCUCGCUCAGGGCGUGCUGCGGGUUCCGGCCGUUAAACGACCUUCAUAACCCAAGGUUGACCUCGGAUCAGGUAGGAAGACCCGCUGAACUUAAGC